RNAcentral lists this ribosomal RNA (480 nucleotides) under uncultured bacterium. RNAcentral's name for it is "bacterial SSU rRNA". It matches the Rfam family "Bacterial small subunit ribosomal RNA", at positions 30 to 506 of the family's 1533-position model. The record is from RNAcentral.
UUGAACGCUGGCGGCAUGCCUUACACAUGCAAGUCGAACGGCAGCGCGGGGCAACCUGGCGGCGAGUGGCGAACGGGUGAGUAAUAUAUCGGAACGUACCCUGGAGUGGGGGAUAACGUAGCGAAAGUUACGCUAAUACCGCAUACGAUCUAAGGAUGAAAGCAGGGGACCGCAAGGCCUUGUGCUCCUGGAGCGGCCGAUAUCUGAUUAGCUAGUUGGUGGGGUAAAGGCCUACCAAGGCAUCGAUCAGUAGCUGGUCUGAGAGGACGACCAGCCACACUGGGACUGAGACACGGCCCAGACUCCUACGGGAGGCAGCAGUGGGGAAUUUUGGACAAUGGGGGCAACCCUGAUCCAGCAAUGCCGCGUGAGUGAAGAAGGCCUUCGGGUUGUAAAGCUCUUUUGUCAGGGAAGAAACGGUUCUGGUUAAUACCUGGGGCUAAUGACGGUACCUGAAGAAUAAGCACCGGCUAACUACGU